GACGAACGCUGGCGGCGUGCUUAACACAUGCAAGUCGAACGGAAAGGCCUCAGCUUGCUGGGGUACUCGAGUGGCGAACGGGUGAGUAACACGUGGGUGAUCUGCCUUGCACUCUGGGAUAAGCUUGGGAAACUGGGUCUAAUACCGGAUAUGAACUGCCUUUAGUGUGGUGGUUGGAAAGUUUUUUCGGUGCAAGAUGAGCUCGCGGCCUAUCAGCUUGUUGGUGGGGUAAUGGCCUACCAAGGCGUCGACGGGUAGCCGGCCUGAGAGGGUGUACGGCCACAUUGGGACUGAGAUACGGCCCAGACUCCUACGGGAGGCAGCAGUGGGGAAUAUUGCACAAGGGGCGGAAGCCUGAUGCAGCGACGCCGCGUGGGGGAUGACGGCCUUCGGGUUGUAAACUCCUUUCGACAGGGACGAAGCUUUUUGUGACGGUACCUGUAUAAGAAGCACCGGCUAACUACGUG
This 467-nucleotide ribosomal RNA is filed under the name uncultured bacterium. Its description in RNAcentral is "partial 16S ribosomal RNA". It matches the Rfam family "Bacterial small subunit ribosomal RNA", at positions 28 to 507 of the family's 1533-position model. The record is from RNAcentral.